AAUAACGCGAAGAACGGGAACAGUAAGUGGUCUGAUCUGUUUAGAGAGCUGCGGGAUGGUGCAACGCAGUCAGAGAAGCCAGUGAAGCUCGCCCGGGAGCGGCAGGACUGAACAAGAUGUAGCGCUGCAUCGAGCAGUAAGUUCUGACGGUUAACCUCCGUGAUCGGGUUGUGCUGAUCGACUAGGAUCAGUACAUGAGGUGGACUUCUGGCGAGUAGCUGGGGUCAACGAGAGUGGUACCGCGAUAGACAAGGUCUGUCGUCUCUUCG
RNAcentral lists this non-coding RNA (269 nucleotides) under Brevibacillus brevis. RNAcentral's name for it is "T-box sequence". It matches the Rfam family "T-box leader". From Rfam's summary of the family: Uncharged tRNA acts as the effector for transcription antitermination of genes in the T-box leader family. T-boxes are found upstream of many aminoacyl-tRNA synthetase genes and some amino acid biosynthetic genes usually in Gram-positive bacteria. The anticodon of a specific tRNA base pairs to a specifier sequence within the T-box motif, and the NCCA acceptor tail of the tRNA base pairs to a conserved bulge in the T-box antiterminator hairpin. The record is from RNAcentral. Lineage: Bacteria; Bacillati; Bacillota; Bacilli; Caryophanales; Paenibacillaceae.